This 345-nucleotide unclassified non-coding RNA is filed under the name Hevea brasiliensis (rubber tree). The record is from RNAcentral. Lineage: Eukaryota; Viridiplantae; Streptophyta; Magnoliopsida; Malpighiales; Euphorbiaceae.
AUCCCAAUUCAGCUCACGAAAAUGAGUAAGCAAGCAAACAUCAUCAGGGAAGUAUAAUAAAUAACUAUGGUUGAUCAACUGACGCAAGUCUUUCACAUUACAUGGUGAAACAAGUCUACCAGGUACCAUUUAGAGGGCCACAUCUGAGGAGAUCAAGAUUGACAUAAUUUCAGAUUAGUUGGCACUUGGCAUGUUAAAUGGAGAUAAUUUUCUCCAUUUUGAUAAUUUUGAUAUAAACACCAUCUGAAACAGCGAGGAAGUAAUGAUGGCACAUUUGAUUUCCACUUUCUUUAAAAUGUGAUCCAACUCAAGCAUCAAAGUACCUUAGUUCAAUCACUAAAACAA